CUUCUCUUUGAACUAGAUUUCCUGGAGCCUUUUCUUCCACUUGAACCAGUUGUACUGACUCCAGAUGUGACUGGAUGGGUUUGGGCAGAGUGAAUAGGCACAUGAUGCCCAGGAACCAAAGCAGGGAACCCAACAGCAGGGAUUCUGCAAAGCAACAAAGACCUGUACUAAUCAGCAUACCUAAAAGAUCAAACCACUAAAUGAAAGGCCCACUCGAGCACAUAACAAAAACCAUCAAAUGAUAACCGUUAACAAUGAAAUCCAUAGUUCAUUCCUAGGAAUUGGAAAACAUAACCAAACUCAUAACCAGGUAAGGGGUUCUGUUUUACCACAGUACACCAUCUGACCAAAAAGUUACCCGAAUAUCAGUAAGGAAACUUAACAAUCUCAAUAUAUGCAGCAUGCCUUUAAAGUUAAUCAAACAUGAUAAAUGCCAAAACUGUUGUCAUAAAACAUUACAGUCUUGAAAGCAUAUCUGCUGUCAAAACCCCAAGUAUAACUUCUACAUGUAUCCUGAAGAUCCAAUGUGAAAAUAAUCCAACAAGAGGCUCUAGACAACUUAAUAAUUAGAUUCACUCCCCUGUUUUCCUACCACUACAGAAGCAUAAAAUUUGCCACAGGUUAAAACCCUCAUCCCAAGAAAAAUUCGGCCAACAGAUUUUAUAAACAUGUACAGUAACAGUUACAAAGUUCUUCAACCAAACUUCAGAACAAAGAAAGAUUGAUGUGCGACCAAGAACAACAAGUUGAUUUUGUCAGUUGAUAAAAUCGUGAGGAUGCUAAACCUUUGAUUACAUGAAGAACAGCAUAUCUGUACACACGUGGACAUGAUUGCAUUUGAAUAACAAGAUAAAGCUUCAGCCAUAUACAAGCCAGUUAAAUUUUGAAACUACCAAAAUUAAGUGCAUUGAAGACAAUGCCACACUGAUGCUGUAUUAAUGGUGAAUUCAACUCCACAAUCAUAAAUAACUCCACAUUCCAAGAGCCAAGAAUAUGAGGGAAAGAUAAUUCAUGAAUCAUACCCAACAAGAGCACAGCAGACUCCUGCUUGGUCAAGGAUGCACCAUAUGCAUUGCCCUUUUGCAAACUAAAUCUAAGGGCUUGAUUUUCUGCAAGAACACAGUGAAGCAACCGACCGAGUUUCCUGCAUUCACUUUCCAAG
RNAcentral lists this long non-coding RNA (1162 nucleotides) under Citrus maxima (pomelo). Its description in RNAcentral is "long non-coding RNA (CMAX_LNC001648)". Lineage: Eukaryota; Viridiplantae; Streptophyta; Magnoliopsida; Sapindales; Rutaceae. The record is from RNAcentral.